GGAUUGGGGCUCUGUGGUAGAGUGCUUGCCUCACAUGUGUGAGGCACUGAGUUCAAUUCUCAGCACUGCA
Molecule: transfer RNA, 70 nt
Filed under: Marmota monax (woodchuck)
Lineage: Eukaryota; Metazoa; Chordata; Mammalia; Rodentia; Sciuridae
Description: tRNA.Val
Source: RNAcentral